GGCUCCAAAAAGGUUACCUCACCGACUUCGGGUGUUACAAACUCUCGUGGUGUGACGGGCGGUGUGUACAAGGCCCGGGAACGUAUUCACCGCGGCGUGCUGAUCCGCGAUUACUAGCGAUUCCGGCUUCAUGUAGGCGAGUUGCAGACUGCAAUCCGAACUGAGAGAAGCUUUGAGAGAUUGGCUUAGCCUCGCGACUUCGCAACUCGUUGUACUUCCCAUUGUAGCACGUGUGUAGCCCAGGUCAUAAGGGGCAUGAUGAUUUGACGUCAUCCCCACCUUCCUCCGGUUUGUCACCGGCAGUCUCCCUAGAGUGCCCAACUGAAUGAUGGCAACUAACAAUAAGGGUUGCGCUCGUUGCGGGACUUAACCCAACAUCUCACGACACGAGCUGACGACAACCAUGCACCACCUGUCACUUUGCCCCCGAAGGGGACGCUCUAUCUCUAGAAUGGUCAAAGGAUGUCAAGACCUGGUAAGGUUCUUCGCGUUGCUUCGAAUUAAACCACAUGCUCCACCGCUUGUGCGGGCCCCCGUCAAUUCCUUUGAGUUUCAACCUUGCGAUCGUACUCCCCAGGCGGAGUGCUUAAUGCGUUUGCUGCAGCACUGAAGGGCGGAAACCCUCCAACACUUAGCACUCAUCGUUUACGGCGUGGACUACCAGGGUAUCUAAUCCUGUUCGCUCCCCACGCUUUCGAGCCUCAGCGUCAGUUACAGACCAGAGAGCCGCCUUCGCCACUGGUGUUCCUCCAUAUCUCUACGCAUUUCACCGCUACACAUGGAAUUCCACUCUCCUCUUCUGCACUCAAGUCCCCAGUUUCCAAUGACCCUCCCCGGUUGAGCCGGGGGGCUUUCACAUCAGACUUAAGAAACCGCCUGCGCUCCCUUUACGCCAAUAAAUCCGGGACAACGCUUGCCACUACGUAUUACCGCGCUGCUGGCACGUAGUUAGCCGUGGCUUUCUGGGUUAAGUUACCGUCAAGGGAAC
RNAcentral lists this ribosomal RNA (988 nucleotides) under Enterococcus gallinarum. RNAcentral describes it as "partial 16S ribosomal RNA". Lineage: Bacteria; Bacillati; Bacillota; Bacilli; Lactobacillales; Enterococcaceae. The record is from RNAcentral.